RNAcentral lists this ribosomal RNA (497 nucleotides) under uncultured bacterium. RNAcentral describes it as "partial 16S ribosomal RNA". It matches the Rfam family "Bacterial small subunit ribosomal RNA", at positions 28 to 507 of the family's 1533-position model. The record is from RNAcentral.
GAUGAACGCUGGCGGCGUGCCUAAUACAUGCAAGUCGAGCGAACAGAUGAGGAGCUUGCUCCCCUGACGUUAGCGGCGGACGGGUGAGUAACACGUGGAUAACCUACCUAUAAGACUGGGAUAACUUCGGGAAACCGGAGCUAAUACCGGAUAAUAUAUUGAACCGCAUGGUUCAAUAGUGAAAGACGGUUUUGCUGUCACUUUUAGAUGGAUCCGCGCCGCAUUAGCUAGUUGGUAAGGUAACGGCUUACCAAGGCAACGAUGCGUAGCCGAUCUGAGAGGGUGAUCGGCCACACUGGAACUGAGACACGGUCCAGACUCCUACGGGAGGCAGCAGUAGGGAAUCUUCCGCAAUGGGCGAAAGCCUGACGGAGCAACGCCGCGUGAGUGAUGAAGGUCUUCGGAUCGUAAAACUCUGUUAUUAGGGAAGAACAAAUGUGUAAGUAAAUAUGCACGUCUUGACGGUACCUAAUCAGAAAGCCACGGCUAACUACGUG